RNAcentral lists this ribosomal RNA (475 nucleotides) under uncultured bacterium. Its description in RNAcentral is "bacterial SSU rRNA". It matches the Rfam family "Bacterial small subunit ribosomal RNA", at positions 335 to 799 of the family's 1533-position model. The record is from RNAcentral.
ACUCCUACGGGAGGCAGCAGUGGGAAUAUUGGACAAUGGGGGCAACCCUGAUCCAGCAAUACCGCGUGUGUGAAGAAGGCCUGAGGGUUGUAAAGCACUUUCAGCGAGGAGGAAGUUAAUGUAGUUAAUAGCUAUGUUGAUUGACGUUACUCGCAGAAGAAGCACCGGCUAACUCUGUGCCAGCAGCCGCGGUAAUACAGAGGGUGCAAGCGUUAAUCGGAAUUACUGGGCGUAAAGCGUGCGUAGGCGGAUAUUUAAGUCAGAUGUGAAAGCCCCGGGCUCAAGCCUGGGAAUUGCAUGCUGAUACUGGGUAUGCUAGAGUAUGGUAGAGGAUAGUGGAAUUUCUGGUGUAGCGGUGAAAUGCAGUAGAUAUCAGAAGGAACAUCAGUGGCGAAGGCGACUGUCUGGGCCAAUACUGACGCUGAGGUACGAAAGCGUGGGUAGCGAACAGGAUUAGAUACCCUGGUAGGCUCUG